RNAcentral lists this long non-coding RNA (2327 nucleotides) under Homo sapiens (human). Its description in RNAcentral is "HSALNT0091518". Lineage: Eukaryota; Metazoa; Chordata; Mammalia; Primates; Hominidae. The record is from RNAcentral.
GGGGAAGCCGCACUCCCUGAUCAGGGCAGAUCAGGAGGAUUCCAAGUGUAAUUGGCCUCCAGGGAGUAUGUAAGUCACUCUUGUACACCCCCUCAGACCUCCUUAAUGCCUUGCCAGCUGGAAGGAAAAGAGCCUCUUGCAUUGCCCACAAAGGAAGCAGAGAUUGAGGGGAGAAGAACUGGAGAAAUUAAAAAAGUGGAAAGAGACAGCAACACAAAUAAAGAGGUUGAGUACCAGUAGAAACCUCAUAUUUACCUGGAAGAUUACUUUUAGGAAGCUUGAAGAAUUCUCUCUUCCAACUUGGUUGGAUGGAUCUCACUAUGUUGCCAAGGCUGGCUCGAGAACUCCUGGGCUCAACCAAUCCUCCUGCCUCAGCCUCCCAAAUAGCUGGGACUACAGGUGUGUGCCGCCACUCUCCCCUUUUUAUUGGAAGAGAGUUCAUAGAGGACUGAGCACCUAUUUAGUAUAUGUUUCUAGGUUUGGUUACAAUUUGUUAAGAAAAGUAGAUUUGCAAACUCACUACUUUUGAAAUAUUAAAAAUACAUGCCAUGAAUUUCUACUUCAGCACAGAUUUGGACAACCACCUUAUGUAUGGAAAGAAAAUUUACUGAAUUUAGUGCUAGGCAUAGAUGAGAAUUUCUACUUGAAAAAAGCCCUUAAAACUUUUCCUGCUGUACUGUUCAAUUAUUAAUAUAUUUAAUGCACAGACGCAGUUCACAAUGUGGACUGAUGUGAACUUGUGUUGCAUUGGCUUUAUAAAUUAGGACAGUUGAUUUUACUUAUCCUCCUGAUUUGCCCAGAUAUGAUCUCUAUAAAAAAUCACAGAAAUUUUUGUAAAAUAAUCUUGCAGUUCUUGUUUUUGCUCUUUUUCUUAUUUUUUUCUCAACAAAAAAUUAUUUCUGAUGUUCUAUUUUCACUUAAAUGAAAACAUUCCAUGGAAGAAGUACAAAGAAGUAAUGCUUUGAAAUGACAGUCCCUGAAUUUUCAAGAAAGCCAGAUUCUUCCACAUCCAUAGUCUUCCUUUGUCCUGUUAAUAAUCCUCAUGAUGAGAGGAAAGUUACUGCCUAGUGUUUUAUGACUGGGAGAAUGGAGUAACAAGAAUCUAAGUGGUCAGAAGUAGAGAUUGUCAAGAAUACAGGCUCUCAGGUUUUGGUGUCUGUGCUCCAUCAGCCAAACUUUGCCCUUUUCUAGAAAAGACCCAAGUGGUGAAGUCACUAAUUUUGUCAUUGUUAUUAUGUACUGGAGAAAAAUUAAAUGAUCCACCUCUUUAUCAUAUACUGAACUUUCAUGAUAAGUAACACAUGUGGAGUAACCAAGGCUUAGCCAACUAGGGAUUAAUGUUAGAAAAUGAAUUUUGCUUUCUCUAUACUUGUUUAGAAAUAGCAAAAGUUCUGUAAGGGGAUGGCUAGGGGCCAAUGGGAGAGGUGAAGGACCUUUAUCACAGUAUUUGUUUGGUCCCCAUCAAAGUUCCUGGGUGCCAUGGAAAAGUGUUUUUCUUUUCUGGACCCUUUACUUCAUCUGCAAAAUGGUGAGGCAGUUAAACUCUCUGGCUUGCUUUUAUCUUACAGGCAUUCAGUGAGGUAUAUAACCUGCAAUAUUUCUUAAAAGUUGUAUAGGUUUUGCUGACCUGAAUUCUUUCAUGUUCUUCUUCAUCCUACAUGUGUAACUAUUCCAUGUUAUCGGUCCCCACGAUGAAAGAUAAUGGAAAAACAAUGCCUGUCUUUGUCUGACUCAAAAAGCAUGCUGAAUGGACUUUUCAUCCAUGUGGCUGUGAUCAGUUCCUAAAGCAGAGGAAUCUGCAGCCUAAUGACACAUCAGGAAUUGAUGGAACCCCAGCAGACAGCUUCUAUGAGGAGAUUAGGACUCUCAGAAGAGACACCAGAGGCGUGGCCACACAGAGAAAAAGAUCAUGUGGGGACACAGUGAAAAGGCAGCCAUCAUAAGCCACAGAGAGAGGACUCAGAAGAAACCAACUCUGCUGACACCUUCAUCUUGAACUUCUAGCCUCUAGAACUGUGAAAAAACAAAUUUCUGUUGUUAAGACACCCGGUCUGUGGUAUUUUGUUAAGACAGCCCUAGCAAACUAACACAAUUUUGUACACUAAAUAAAGUCCAAUUCAAUUUUAAUUUUAUAGAAACUGAAACAAAUAAUUUAAAGAUUUACUUAGUAAAUUACUUCAGAUUGGGAUCAAAUGUGUACAUGAAUUAUGAAAAUGUAAGAAAUGGAUAUUUAAAUAAGUAUACCAGAACAUAAAAAUUCCAGUGCCUGGUUUUUUUUUUUUUUUUGAAAGCCACUUAUCCCAACAAUAAAACUGAUGCUCAAAAUA